Molecule: small nuclear RNA, 103 nt
Filed under: Prolemur simus (greater bamboo lemur)
Lineage: Eukaryota; Metazoa; Chordata; Mammalia; Primates; Lemuridae
Source: RNAcentral
AUGUUCUUAAAACUCUAUAGACUAAAACUGAACAAUAUGGAGAAGAUUAGCAUAGUCCCUGCACAAAGACGACAUGCAAAUUUAUGAAGUGUUCCAUAUUUAA